RNAcentral lists this ribosomal RNA (403 nucleotides) under uncultured bacterium. RNAcentral describes it as "partial 16S ribosomal RNA". It matches the Rfam family "Bacterial small subunit ribosomal RNA", at positions 30 to 526 of the family's 1533-position model. The record is from RNAcentral.
AUUGAACGCUGGCGGCAGGCCUAACACAUGCAAGUCGAGCGAGCGGCGGGCGGGUGAGUAAUGUAUGGGGACUGCCCGAUAGAUGGGGAUCACUACUGGAAACGGUAGCUAAUACCGCAUACUAUCGGAUAACCCAUAUGGGAUUAGCUAGUUGGUGAGGUAAUGGCUCACCUAGGCUACGAUCCCUAGCUGGGCUGAGAGGAUGAUCAGCCACACUGGGACUGAGACACGGCCCAGACUCCGACGGAGGCAGCAGUGGGGAAUAUUGCACAAUGGGCGCAAGCCUGAUGCAGCCAUGCCGCGUGUAUGAAGAAGGCCUUAGGGGUGUAAAGUACUGUCAGUCGGGAGGCGUUACCGACAGAAGAAGCCCCGGCUAACUCCGUGCCAGCAGCCGCGGUAAUUC